GCCCUGGGGCGCACCGGAAGUGACCCCUCCCCUCUCCGGGAAAUUCAAACUUUAUUUCCAGGAGUUUCACGGCGUGUCCCCCGAAGCCCAACGCAGGGCAGAUUCCCCAUGAAUCCCCUGGAUUCAUUUAUUCGCUGGAACGUCUACUCAACAUCUGCUACACGCAGAAGGCUGUCCCUUGAAUAAAAGCAGCUGUGUUUAUAGCUGAUGGCUCUCUGUGGCUUUCUCCUGGGCCGAAUGCUGCUAAGGAACAGAGACAACCUCCAUGUGGAUUACAGCCUUCUGGUUCCCUUCUUGUUUUCUGGAACAGGGGCUAGGAUGGGAUUGCACCAUCAGAUCCACAGUGUCAUCUUGUUCCUGUUCCUGUUCCUCCUCUAUGCACACGUCAACUUUCCUGUGGCAAUGCCCCACCUGUACCAGACUACCCACUGGAGGACUGAAUGAGACUCUUGAGUCACCAUUGAUCAUAUAUGACUUAAACAAGUCAUUCUGUGUUGCCAUCAAUGGCUCUAGUUUUCUACACAUUCAAAUAUCACUUAUGUUCUAGAAAGAAAGAAAGAAAGAAAGAAAGAAAGAAAGAAAGAAAGAAAGAAAGAAAACCCAAGCAACCAUAAGAGCUGUCACAAAGACCAUGUAUUGUCAUCAGAACUCCAGAAUUUCAUGUGGAACUUACUGACUCUGAACUUCAGCAUGAUUCGAACUUUGUAAUCUGCUUCCUGGUCUAUACCAGAUUAGAAAAAACAAACUCGGGCAGGUAGAGGCAAGCAUACUAACCACAAAAAGAAAUCAUACCUGGGAUGCCUGGGUGGCUCAGUCGGUUGAGCGCCCGACUUCGGCUCAGGUCAUGAACUUGUGGUUCAUG
This is a long non-coding RNA of Leopardus geoffroyi (Geoffroy's cat), 862 nucleotides long. RefSeq lists it as uncharacterized. Lineage: Eukaryota; Metazoa; Chordata; Mammalia; Carnivora; Felidae. The transcript is spliced from 3 exons. The record is from RefSeq and is a predicted model, not a curated record.